GGGAAGGCAAGAAGUCGGCAUAGCUGUUUGAAAAUGAUAUACGGCUGUGUCACUUCGAGCCAGCUCAAUCCACCGGCUUUCUGCAUAAAGAAGAUUUGCGGACGCUGCCGUAACGUGAAAAUUCGGAUCGCUCCCGUAGCGGCGCGACUCCGGCCGGGAGAGGGCGCAUUGACAGCUGUCACUGGGCACUAUUUCGCUUUCUUCGCGGCCGGACGUGGGAGGAAAUCGUUUAUUUUUAUCACACACGACGAUGUUCCCGUAGAGUGCGACCGGCUGUGUACGUGCGUGACGAAACGAUCGAAAACAAGACGACAAAAUGCCGAACGAGGAGGUGUUGGGUCCGCGGAAGACGAUGUUCGUACUAGUGAUUGUUGUGGGAUGUUUCGCGGUGCUGUGGCCCAGGAUUCUGUCGCCGCUGAUCUUGGGCCACUCGCGGGACCAGCUCAAACCGAACGCGUUCGACCGGGAGGCAGGAUGCUGCGAAGUGAUGUUCGAGACAGAACUGGCGGUAUUGGAACUGAUCAACGAGGUAUGUAGUUCAGCAGUCCACGUGGACGGAAAGCUCUCUCCAUACGCCGCGGCGGAGUGUCGCAAAGCCGUCAACGAGACCUGCGGAGUAGAUAUAGCGGCAUUCCUCAAACGAAAUGAGAACAUCGGCAAGACCUCCAAGAAACUAGUCGAGACUAUGAAGAACAGCAACUCCUCGUGCCUUAAGGAGCAUUUUGGCGUGCCCGUCUGGAGUCUCGCUCCUCACCAGGCGUUCAACUCAUGGACCCUACAAGACACUGUAAAACAAGAGCGUCCUCUGAACCGCGGCGCAGGGCCGCAUCCAGCACUGCGAGAGCGGGGCCGCGCGAUUCCUCAGGGCGUGGCCCCCGCGAGACCCGCGACACCGAUGCCGCCCCACGUUCGGGUACGAUCCUCCCCGCUAUCAGUGUACUAUGAGCUGGACAUCAAGCCACCACCGAUCCCGGGCAUGCGGCCCCCGCUCGGCUCGCCCGGGGGUCCGGUGCCCACGCCCAAGUCGUCCAUGGGGUUCGUCAUGCCGAUCUACACGAUAUGCAUCAUAGUGUUCUUCGUGUACACACUUAGCAAGAUCCUGUUCAAGCGCACCGCGUCCCCCUACGAGCCUGUUAGUCCCGACCCCCACUUCAGGAGCAGGGUGUUCCGCGACGACUCCAGGACGUCGCCCGACAAGCUCGGGGAUGUUGAACUGGAGGCGCUGCGAGCGCGGCUUGCGGAGACUGAGCGCGCCAUGCAAAGGAUCGUCGGCCAACUGGCUCAGCGCGACGCGGAGGCCCAGGAUGAGCAGGCUCGCCCGUACACGAACGGUACAAUACUUCACAACACCGGCCCGGUGCAUAUCGUCGCCAGCGAAUACCAGGAAGUAUCCAAGGAAAAGACUCCUGAACCUCAGAGGGAAGUGCCAGAACCUUCACCUGAAGUGAAGGAACCUGCCCCUGAACCUGAAAAGCCUCUGUCAAAAGAAUCUUUAGAGACGAAAGAGUCUGAGGAAUUAGAGGCUGAAAAACAAGAAGAAUUGGUUCAAGAAAUACCUGCAACACAAUCUGAAGAAGCAGAGACGGACGAUGUUAAAGAAGAGAAGGGUCCAGAAGAAAAUGACUUAAAACUCGUUGCUGACGAUGAAGUGGACGAAAAUGGUGGCGAAGCUAAAUUCGAUAAAGAAGAAUCGGGUUCAGAGCCAGAGUUAAUAGAAAUUAAUAAUAAAGAGGAUGAACUGAUUAAAUUAACAAACGAUGACGUAGAAAGCGAUGACUACGUCAAAGUGGUACAGGAUUUCUUGAACGAGGAAGCUAAAAUAGACGUGAAAGAAGAGAAACAAUCGACUCCGGAUCUCCUGGAAGUAGCUAUUAAAGAGGACUCGCCUGAUAAACCUGAGGAUGACCAAGAAAAUGCUAGUGUAAAGGUGGUAGGCAUGGAGGUGACGGCGCACACGGCGGACGGCGGCGCGCUGCCCCGCGCUCCCCCGCCGCCCGCGCCCGCGCCUGCGCCCCAGCGCCCGCACGAGGCGGAGGAAGUGAAGUCGAUAUUCCUGGAGACGGAGAUUCCGCAGAAGUCUCGGGUCCUCGUCGCGGACUUCGUCGAAGACAGGCCCGAAGACUCCGCGCCCAGUAACAAUUCCCCAAUGGUGGUGAGCGGUAAAAUGACUUUGUCACUCAUACAGGACGCACCGAGAGACACUCCUGAGAAGGAUCCAGAAUCAACAGUGGAUGAUUUCACAACAGCCAGUGCAAUCACUCAACCCGCCGCUGAUAAACAAGUUGAAGAAGAGUCCGACGAAGAAAUAGAGAUCGAAGAAGAAAUAGAAGUGGAAGAGAUCGAGGAAGAGGAAGAAGUUGAGGAGAUUGAGGAAGACGAAGAGAACGAACCGGUGGAGGCGAAGAAACCAGAAGCAAAGGAACCAGUCAAAGUGCAAGAAGUAAAGGAAGCUGUUAAAGUACAGGAAGAAGUAAAACAAGCAGAAGAAGAUUCCGAAGAGGAGGUAGAAGUAAAUGAAGAUGAGGAACCAAUACAAGAUUCGAAAUUUGAACCGGUUAAAGAACUAGAUGCCGAUAAAGAAGAAGAAUAUUCUGAGGAAGAAAUUGAGGAAAAUGAGGAACCAGUGAAAGAGUCAGUUAAGGUAAAGGAACCGGUGAAAUUAAAAGAGCCAGUUAAAGGAAAACCAUCUGUAGAACAUUCAGAAGAUGAUAAGGAACAGAAGAAAGCGAAAGGAGAUAAAGAAUGAACUGAUAGGAAUUAACUUGUAGUGAGAGAAUGUUUGGUGGUUCUGUAAAGAAAAAUAUUAAACAAGUAAAAUGGAUUCAAAUAAAAAUACCUACAUUAUUUGGCCCUUUAAAUGGAAUCCAAAGAAGGAAUUAGGAAGGCAUAAUUUUUGAGCACCACCGAAAAUUUUUCACGUUUGAAGAAAAAAUACAUCAGGCAAAAACAACAUUAGUAUAUUUCAUACGGAACCACUAAACAGUUAUUUUAUCUUUAAAUAUAAUUUUAAAAAUGUUUAUUUUUGCAAGUUAUAUUUUCGUAUGCUUUCGCUCGUCACGUUAUUUUUUUACAAUUAUAUUUUUACCUUCGAUUGUCGUUUAUUUAAGAUGUAUAUUUCGUGCAGAUGUCGCCGUUCGCUUGUAGUAUAAGAUUUUAAGUGUGUUUAUGGACGUGGCAGUUUCUGGGGCAUAAUUUAUCAAUAUAAAAAAAAGACACUAAAAUUUUAGGCCUUGACAAAUCUAGUCAUUUUAAAAUUACUAUACUAAAAAGAUUUACAAUUACUCAGGUUUGUCUAUAAUCUUCAAUGACAACAAAAAUUAGCAUUGUAUGUUCAUCGAUCGAAAAUAACCAAUCAAAAUAAGUAAUUAGUAUGCCAUCAUUUAAUUCCAAUUUUUUCUUACAGUGAUUUGAUAAUCUAUUAAUUUCGAUCGAGAGAAUGUAAGAUGAUGCCUCAGUAUGCCGUAAGAGUGUCCAUGAACAUGGAACUACGAAUUUAGCAUUGCUCUCAGUGUUCGAUAUUUUUGUGCCAAAUUUACUUCGAGCUUUUUAAUUUUGUCAUAGUUUUACAUUGACCCCACACAUUUUGUAUUACAUUGACACCCCAUUGGCAAGUUUCCGGUUUAAACUACGAUAUUUAAAGAACCGGAAUGAGGUAGCCAGAAAAAUUACUGGAUAUUAUGAGCUUCACAGUUAAUGCGUCAUGGUGAAGAACACAAUGCUUUACCAUGUACUUGUAAUUUAAAGUUUUGAAAGAUUGUUUUUCGAAAACGUUGCUCGUCUCAUACUGUUCAAUUACAUAUUUUUACUGCUUAAUAUAUAUAUUUCAAUGGGGUGAUAUAACUAACUAUGUAUCAAUGUAUCAUUUAUAGGUUAGCGGUGAUGGACACGGCAGAGAAAAAAUCGAUUAAAUAUUGAAACUAUGACUCAUGAUCAUUCGCAUAUGGUUUCUAGUUACGUAAGUGUAAUUUCAAGCGAAGCGAAUUUUUUUUAUGAUAAUUUUAACCUUAUAGGAGACAUAAUUAGAUGUGGUUUCCAUUAUCUUCGAUUAGUCUAAUUGCCGGCACUCCGUCAGCGCUGAACCUUUAAAUUCACAGUCGCUGCUGGUCAUGGUUGAUGACGUCAUUUGUUGUUUCUUAGGCUGUCUUGCCAAAAUAUUUGUGGAUUAGUAUAGACAAUUUUUUUACCCUUAGCAAAUCUAAUUUGUGGCAAAUCUUCCUUCCAAAUGUUUAGCCAAAUUUUUACAAUGUUUUCCUAUUAUACACUAAUGUAUGAAUUAUAGGUAAUAAUAUAAAUUAAUAUUGUAUGAUCGCUUGCAAAAAAUAUUGUAUUAUAAUUAACAUUUUUUUUUUGAUUCUGUUAUGUAAAAUUUGUUAGAAUAUAAGAACCAGUUAUGGACUUGCCGACGUAUAAUUAUCAAAAAAAAAAGGUUGGAUUGAUCCUACAAUUUUUUACAGCAAUUUUUCUUGCAAGCGAUUUUUUAUUAGUAUCAUGCCCCAACCUCUACAUGUGUUAAUGUAUUGGGUGUGUUAGAAUAGACGGUAAUUUUGCACUGGCGUGUAGUUUUUAUGCAUUUAAGUUUAUAUCUUUGUGAUUUGUUAAGAAAAACAUUAUUUAUUUUGUUAUAUUUUUUUGCGGAAUGAACCCUUUAUGUGCGGAAUUUUUCGUCAAUAUUUUAUCAUACCUCAUUGUAUGACGGUUAGGUCUAUGGGGUAACGUGAUACAUCGCAUAAUAAGGGUGAAAAUAUUUAUUUUUGAAUGUUAACUAAUUUAUAUUAUUGAUUGUAAAUUUUUGUUUACUGUGGAAAUGUUUUUAGACGUUUUAUAAUCGAGUGUAACUUAUUAAUACAUGGUAUUCAGCAUUCCUUGUCUUUCUGAAUGUGUAGUAGAUCCAGAUCAGAUUGUCUAUUUAAAUGUAAACAUACACAUUUCCGAUAUGUAUUGCUUGUUUUUAGUUGUAAUAAAAUAACAGU
This 4970-nucleotide microRNA precursor is filed under the name Manduca sexta (tobacco hornworm). The stretch from base 1 to 74 matches the Rfam family "mir-31 microRNA precursor family". Lineage: Eukaryota; Metazoa; Arthropoda; Insecta; Lepidoptera; Sphingidae. The record is from RNAcentral.